CAGCAGCCGCGGUAAUUCCAGCUCCAAUAGCGUAUAUUAAAGUUGUUGCAGUUAAAAAGCUCGUAGUUGAAUUUCGGGACUAAUAUGUCGGUCGUACUUUGUACGUACUAGCAUUAUUGGUUUCUCCCUUCUGACGAACCACGAUGUCAUUAAUUUGGUGUCAUGGGAAAUCAGGACUGUACUUGAAAAAAUUAGAGUGUUUAAAGCAAGCUCGCGCUUGAAUACAUUAGCAUGGAAUAAUGAAAUAGGACGUUUGAUUCUAAUUUUGUUGGUUUCUAGGAUCGACGUAAUGAUUAAUAGGGAUAGUUGGGGGCAUUAGUAUUCAAUUGUCAGAGGUGAAAUUCUUGGAUUUAUUGAAGACUAACUACUGCGAAAGCAUUUGCCAAGGAUGUUUUCAUUAAUCAAGAACGAAAGUUAGGGGAUCGAAGACGAUCAGAUACCGUCGUAGUCUUAACCAUAAACUAUGCCGACUAGGGAUCGGAUGAUGUUAAUUUUUUAAUGACUCAUUCGGCGCCUUACG
RNAcentral lists this ribosomal RNA (520 nucleotides) under uncultured Glomus. RNAcentral describes it as "SSU rRNA". It matches the Rfam family "Eukaryotic small subunit ribosomal RNA", at positions 568 to 1092 of the family's 1831-position model. The record is from RNAcentral. Lineage: Eukaryota; Fungi; Glomeromycota; Glomeromycetes; Glomerales; Glomeraceae.